RNAcentral lists this ribosomal RNA (483 nucleotides) under uncultured bacterium. Its description in RNAcentral is "partial 16S ribosomal RNA". It matches the Rfam family "Bacterial small subunit ribosomal RNA", at positions 30 to 507 of the family's 1533-position model. The record is from RNAcentral.
UUGAACGCUGGCGGCAGGCCUAACACAUGCAAGUCGAGCGGAUGAAGGGAGCUUGCUCCUGGAUUCAGCGGCGGACGGGUGAGUAAUGCCUAGGAAUCUGCCUGGUAGUGGGGGAUAACGUCCGGAAACGGGCGCUAAUACCGCAUACGUCCUGAGGGAGAAAGUGGGGGAUCUUCGGACCUCACGCUAUCAGAUGAGCCUAGGUCGGAUUAGCUAGUUGGUGGGGUAAAGGCCUACCAAGGCGACGAUCCGUAACUGGUCUGAGAGGAUGAUCAGUCACACUGGAACUGAGACACGGUCCAGACUCCUACGGGAGGCAGCAGUGGGGAAUAUUGGACAAUGGGCGAAAGCCUGAUCCAGCCAUGCCGCGUGUGUGAAGAAGGUCUUCGGAUUGUAAAGCACCUUAAGUUGGGAGGAAGGGCAGUAAGUUAAUACCUUGCUGUUUUGACGUUACCAACAGAAUAAGCACCGGCUAACCUCGUG